This 627-nucleotide long non-coding RNA is filed under the name Homo sapiens (human). RNAcentral describes it as "non-protein coding lnc-THSD7A-6:1". The record is from RNAcentral. Lineage: Eukaryota; Metazoa; Chordata; Mammalia; Primates; Hominidae.
UGUCCACUAUUAUCCCAUAAUCUCUUUUCACCUUAGUUUCAUUAAACAUUUAUGAAGAAUCACCUGUGCACAGCGCUACGCAAGAAGAUACAGAGACAUAAAAAUGCAUUGUUUUUCUCUUUCAUGGGCUUAGUAUUUUAACACUUUCCCUCAUAUAGUUAAUAUUGCAGGUUAUUUUCGGAAUAAUGGGGAUGUCUUGAGGGUAUGAAUUAAUGUCAACCAAUAAUAUGUAAUGUGUAUUUUCUACAUCUUCAUAUUUUCGAGUUUAUUAAAAAUGUAGAGUAGAUUUUUACUAUAGAACAUGUCAGAGUAUUUCCAUAAUUUAAUUCCUAAAAUUUAGGUUUUCCUUGCCACGAUGCACUUUGAUUUGCAAUUCUAUUUCUUUUAUUUUGGAUGUUGGCUAGGAUUCUUAGGAUGGAAAUAAAGCAGAAAAGAAGUCAUCCCGCUAACACAGGAUAUACGGGCAUAGCGAAUGAGUUCCUGUAAUUCGUAUUCCUUUGAAGAAGCAGUUUGAGAAACAGAAAGAAGUAAAGACUAAGUUAAGGGAAAUCUUGAAAACUAGAAGACUAUGGUUAAAUCCAUGCUAAAGAGUUAUAUAUGUAGUUUUGAAUGGAGAAUGUAAGGAAG